CCUCGGGUGGUAGUAGUGAGGAAGAGUGGUCAAGGGACGUAAGGCGGAACCAGUCAAGGCGCGUGAAGGAAGAAGGAUCUAGGGUGUGUAAACUUCUUUUAGAGGGGAAGAAAGGUAUCCAAGUGAGGAGAUUUGCAUGUACCCUAUGAAUAAGCAUCGGCUAAAUCCGUGCCAGCAGCCGCGGUAAUACGGAGGAUGCGAGCGUUAUCCGGAGUUAUUGGGUUUAAAGGGUGCGUAGGUGGUUUUUUAAGUCAGCGGUAAAAGUUUGUGGCUCAACCAUAAAAUUGCCGUUGAAACUGGCAGACUUGAGUGUGUUUGAGGUAGGCGGAAUGCGUGGUGUAGCGGUGAAAUGCAUAGAUAUCACGCAGAACUCCGAUUGCGAAGGCAGCUUACUAAGCCAUAACUGACACUGAGGCACGAAAGCGUGGGGAUCAAACAGGAUUAGAUACCCUUGUAGUC
This 459-nucleotide ribosomal RNA is filed under the name uncultured bacterium. RNAcentral describes it as "partial 16S ribosomal RNA". It matches the Rfam family "Bacterial small subunit ribosomal RNA", at positions 339 to 795 of the family's 1533-position model. The record is from RNAcentral.